RNAcentral lists this ribosomal RNA (2398 nucleotides) under marine metagenome. RNAcentral describes it as "bacterial LSU rRNA". It matches the Rfam family "Archaeal large subunit ribosomal RNA", at positions 1 to 2390 of the family's 2987-position model. The record is from RNAcentral.
GCCGGUGUAAAGACGGUAAUAGGAGGAUUGCUAGGUUUGAGAAGAGAUGAAGGACGUGGCAAGCUGCGAUAAGCUCGGGGUAGGCGCAUGCGACCUUCGAUCCCGAGAUGUCCGAAUGAGAAUCUUAUGUUUACAUACUCCGUUACAAUGGUGGCGGAGGUCGAACCGUCGGAAUUGAAGCAUCUUAGUACGACGAGGAAGAGAAAUCAAUAGAGAUUACCCAAGUAGUGGCGAACGAAAAGGUAAGAGCCCAAACUGAAUCUGUUAUGGUAACAUAACAGAGAUGUGGUGUAUACGGACUCAUAUAAUGAUCCUAGAACACAGUCGAAAUGAUCUGGAACGUUCUGGCAUAGAGGGUGAAACCCCCGUAAACGAAGUGGUAUAGGAUUAGUUGAGUACCAGAGUAGAUGUCCUUGGUAGUGGGCAUCGAAUAUUAGGAGAAAGUAGCUUCUAAGGCUAAAUAUAUCUCAAAACCGAUAGUGUACUAGUACCGUGAGGGAAAGCUGAAAAGUACCCCGGAAGGGGGGUGAAAAGUGCAUGAAACCUAUUACUUACAGACGUGCAUAGCAUGAAAGGUGAUUUUUCUAGACCAGAGGUUCUAGCAAUAGAGCUGAAAGUUUAGAGCUCAAAUCGUCAGUGUUAUGCGUUCCGUCUCGAAACACGGGCCAGGGAGCUAACUGUCAUGGCAAGACUAAGCCAGUCAAGGCGAAGUCGAAGGGAAACCGAGUUCUCGCAGCAUUAGCGAGGAGAAGCGUGUGAAAGUGCGUUGAGUCAUGGCGGCUAGGCUAGAAGCCAGUCGAUCUAUUCCUGAGCAAGCUGAAGGCGGGCGAAAGCCCGUUGGAGGGCUGAAGCCGUACUAGCGUGCAAACUGUUGGUGUGACUUGGGAAUAGGGGUCAAAAACCAAUCUAGACUGGCGAUUGCUAGUUCCAACCGAAGCGUCUCGUAGGGCGUCCUCAGUGGAGAUAGCAUUUCCUGUAGAGCACUGAUAGGGCGGCGCGGGGAAGAAAUUCCUCACCGCCCAUUCAAACUCCGAAGGGAUAUGCAUCGUAGAAGCUGGGAGACGGGUUCGUGUGACGUAAGGUUCACGACCGAAAGGGGUUUAACCCAGACUGAAGUUAAGGUCCCCAAAUUUUUGCUAAGUGUCAAGCUAAAGUGUGUGUUCUCGCCAAGACAGCAGGGAGGUAAGCUCAGAAGCAGCUAUCCUUUAAAAAGUGUGUAACAACUUACCUGCCGAGAGAGGGCGCCACAAAAACGGACGGGGCUAAAGCAAAAUACCGAUACUUUAGAUACUUGCCAAUGGGCAAGUCAUGGUAGGUUGGCGUAGUGAUUGGGUCGAAGCAGGGCGGUGACGUCCUGUGGACCGGUUUCUAUUGCAGAUCCUGGCGGCAGUAACAGCAUAGUAGAGUGAGAACCUCUACCACCGCAAGCGCAAGGGUUUCCAGGCAAUGCGUUAUCAGCCUGGAGUUAGUCGAUCCUAAGGAUUGCCUCAAAAGAGUAAUUCGAAAGGGAAACUGGUUAAUAUUCCAGUACCAAACAAAUUGCGUUAUUAUCUAUAUGGACAUCUUCCGGAUAGGGGGAGCAUAACCAUCGUUGUGUUUAAGUGUUCGAGAUUUGGGGAGUGUCGUAAUGACGAGAACCAUUUCGAGACAUUAGUGGCUCUGUGUUAACAGAGUUUUCUUGAAUCCAGGAGACCUUGAAAAUCUGUGUAGAAAGUGAUUUGUUUGUUCGUACCGAGAACCGACACAGGUGCGCUGGCUUAGAAAGCUAAGGUGCUACGGGUAUACCGUAUGGUGAGGGAAAUCGGCAAAUUAGUCCUGUAGCUUAGGUAUAAGGGAUGCCUGCUUGCUUAAUGAGGAAUUGGGCGAGCAGGUUGCAAUGACAAGGGGGUUUCGACUGUUUAAUAAAAACACAGGCGACUGCUAGUCCGAAAGGAUGUGUAUAGUCGCUGAAUCCUGGCCGGUGCGGGUACCUAAAACUUGGGUUCAACCGAGCUAAGGGCCCGUUAACGCCGGGAGUAACUCUGACUCUCUUAAGGUAGCCAAAUGCCUUGUCGGGUAAGUUCCGACGCGCAUGAAUGGAACAACGAGAGCCCCACUGUCCCCACCUACAACCCGGUGAAGCCACAUAAGGUGGACGAACAGUCCAUCAUCUUCCAUCGGGGAGAGAAGACCCCGUGGAGUUUUACUGCAGCUUGUGCUUGUAGUAUAGUAAAGAUUACAUAGUGUAUUUGGGAGCCUUGCCUGAUUUUCUUUGGGAAAUCAGUGAAGCGUCGAUGUAACACCAAAUUAUUUUUGCAGUACUACUUAUCUGGUGCAGACCAGAGACACGUGCAGGUGGGCAGUUCGGCUGGGGCGGCACCCCUUUGAAAAGAUAUCAAAGGGGCCCAAAGUUCGGUUC